CGCCCACCUCGAGGGCUGACCACCCUCGUCUUUCACACUGCUACGGUGCUCGUUGUUCGGAUCCGUGAGUCGACCAGAACCCCAGCAUCACUACCACACUGCAAUUUGCUUCUGCCUCAAUGAUGAACAGAUUAGCACAGCGCACCAUCGAGCCACAGCCAGGAAGUGGCCUGAAACCUCAUGCAGGACCUGAGCAACCCAAGCAGGGUCCCGCCGUCCCUCACUUCCGGAUGACACAGAGGGAGAUGAAGUUGAAGCAGACAGCCCACGAGCCUGUGGUCAUGUCAUCCUCAGGCAGUCGUGAGGUGAGCAACUUUGCUCUACCACAUGUUCCCUGCCAUGAUGUUUUGCUUCACCACAGGCCUAAUGCAAUGGAGCAACUGAUUAUUGAUUGAACCUUCUGAAACUAUCAAGAGCGAGUAGUGCCAGGCAUGGUGGUGCACAUUUGUAAUCCCAG
This 457-nucleotide long non-coding RNA is filed under the name Heterocephalus glaber (naked mole-rat). RNAcentral's name for it is "lncRNA (ENSHGLG00000041169.1)". The record is from RNAcentral. Lineage: Eukaryota; Metazoa; Chordata; Mammalia; Rodentia; Bathyergidae.